CAGAUUCAAAUGCAGCUGAGCUUUUUACUAACUUCACUUUCUCUGAGCUUCAGUUUCAAGCUCUCAAGUGGAGAUGAUGAUGAUAAUACCCACCUCCUAGGGCAUUUUUAUGAAGAUUAAUGAAACUGUACAAGUAGAAGACUUUGCACACGGAGUAUGUGUUACCUGGAUAUCACCUGGCCACUUGUGACCCUAACAGAAGCAAUGAAUAAAUCUGGAAGCAAAAACAAACAGAGAAGCCAGAGAAGA
RNAcentral lists this long non-coding RNA (249 nucleotides) under Homo sapiens (human). Its description in RNAcentral is "HSALNT0230621". Lineage: Eukaryota; Metazoa; Chordata; Mammalia; Primates; Hominidae. The record is from RNAcentral.